Molecule: ribosomal RNA, 253 nt
Filed under: uncultured bacterium
Lineage: Bacteria
Description: partial 16S ribosomal RNA
Rfam family: Bacterial small subunit ribosomal RNA
Source: RNAcentral
UACGUAGGGGGCAAGCGUUGUCCGGAUUUAUUGGACGUAAAGAGCGUGUAGGCGGCUAGAUAGGUCCGUUGUGAAAACUCGAGGCUCAACCUCGAGACGUCGAUGGAAACCAUCUGGCUAGAGUCCGGAAGAGGAGAGUGGAAUUCCUGGUGUAGCGGUGAAAUGCGCAGAUAUCAGGAAGAACACCCGUGGCGAAGGCGGCUCUCUGGUACGUGACUGACGCUGAGACGCGAAAGCGUGGGGAGCAAACAGG